AAGUUACUUGGAAUUCUCUCUGUUCAGGGACCCCAGCAGCAGGCUGGGGUGCAUAUCCUGGUAUAACAGGACUGUGCACACAUCUAUUUCAGAGCUGAAGAAGAGACUGCAGUGAUGCAUGGAAGCCAGCUCCUGUCUCUACAAGUUCAGGAAGAUCCAACUGAGGUCACUGACUUGGCUCACCGUUCCAGUCUUGUGCAUCUUUUUCACAGUUUGCUUUGCAUGCUCUGCCCCAAAUACAAUGAAGGAAACUGGAAGUUGAGGACAGAAAAAUUCUGAGAUGCCUGGGAAACCUGCCAAGCACAGAGGCUCCCAAAUGUUUCUCUUGCACAGAAACACUUGAUACAUAGGAAUAACCAAGACUGAAUUCCCAACGGCUACACGGUCAAGACAAAAUGUCCAAAACGAAAUGUCCCCUGAAUAAAAAAAAUUUUUGAGUCAGA
This is a long non-coding RNA of Pipra filicauda (Wire-tailed manakin), 443 nucleotides long. RefSeq lists it as uncharacterized. NCBI's taxonomy places the organism in Eukaryota, Metazoa, Chordata, Aves, Passeriformes, Pipridae. The record is from RefSeq and is a predicted model, not a curated record. The transcript has 2 exons.